This 74-nucleotide transfer RNA is filed under the name Ixodes scapularis (black-legged tick). It matches the Rfam family "tRNA". Rfam says of the family: Transfer RNA (tRNA) molecules are approximately 80 nucleotides in length. Their secondary structure includes four short double-helical elements and three loops (D, anti-codon, and T loops). The record is from Rfam by way of RNAcentral. Lineage: Eukaryota; Metazoa; Arthropoda; Arachnida; Ixodida; Ixodidae.
GCCGGGAUGGUCUAAUCGGUUAAGGUGUCGCCCCGCACAGGCGAAGGCUGCGGGCUCGAUCCCUCCUUCUGGCA